Molecule: ribosomal RNA, 450 nt
Filed under: uncultured bacterium
Lineage: Bacteria
Description: bacterial SSU rRNA
Rfam family: Bacterial small subunit ribosomal RNA
Source: RNAcentral
AGAAAAUAGAUACCCGGGUAGUCCUGGCCCUAAACGAUGUCCACUAGAUCGUAGCUGCUCUGACGUAGUUAUGGUCGAAAGCAAAAAGUGCUAAGUGGGCCGCCUGGGAAGUACGGUCGCAAGGCUAAAACUCAAAGGAAUUGACGGGGGCUCACACAAGCGGUGGAGCAUGUGGUUCAAUUCGAAGCAACGCGCAGAACCUUACCUGGGCUUGACAUGCUAGGAUUAUCCCUAUGAAAGUAGGGUAGGCCCUUCGGGGUACAACUAGUACAGGUGCUGCAUGGCUGUCGUCAGCUCGUGUCGUGAGAUGUCGGGUUAAGUCCCUUAACGAGCGAAACCUUUGCCCUUAGUUACUAACGGGUUAUGCCGAGGACUCUAAGGGGACUGCGGUGUCAACCGGAGGAAGGUGGAGAUGACGUCAAGUCCUCAUGGCCUUUAUGUCCCAGGGCC